Corvus hawaiiensis (hawaiian crow) is the source of this 1516-nucleotide long non-coding RNA. RefSeq lists it as uncharacterized. The transcript has 4 exons. The record is from RefSeq and is a predicted model, not a curated record. Lineage: Eukaryota; Metazoa; Chordata; Aves; Passeriformes; Corvidae.
GAAUAGUCAACAUUUCAAAUCACAGAUGGAAUUGUUGCUCUGAAGCUUUGGCUUAAGUAGAGACCAGUUUUGAUAACAAGUUGGUAAAGCUUUCACUGGGAGAAAGUCGGGGUUGGCAUCCUGCCUGGAUCACACCAUCGUCAGCAGAAAGAUUUCCAUUCACACCAGCUGCACUAAAGCUCCCCACAGAAUUCUAAAGAUUUUUUGGUCUGAAAGUGAUUAUAUACUUCUUUAUUGAAGAACUUCAGAGUUUACUCAGCCUUCAAACACAAGAGUACCUAAGAGAUUUUUUUAGAAGAAUUUGAAAGGAUGGUGAGAUUUUGACUGGAAGAUCGUUGUGAAAGAACAUUCUGGCACAAACAUCAAGCUGAAGAAUAAAGUUAAAAGAGAAUUCGUAUGACUAGGAGGCUAUAGCAGGAUGAAACUGCUAGGACAAAGGUAAUCUAGUCAUUGGAGAUGAGGAUAUGAACAUGGAAAUAAUCAUAAUUAAGAAGGAAACAAAGGGGCUAAUGAUCUGAAGAUUGUUAUUUAAUUAAGGUUAGAGAUCAGCUCAAAGUGCUUCUGGACUCAGCCUGGGGUGAGCACAGCCCUGAAGGCUUAGGAUCCACUGGGGCCAUUCUGUCUGGUGGUGGAGUGAACUCUGAUGAACCAGACAGGAAGAAAGUUGAGGUGAAGUCCCCUCCAAUUUAAAGUUCUAAAAUAGCAGAAGUUUAAAUAUGUGUGAUCAAGGAAGAACACUGUAUUUCAAGAAUAAAAACAGUUGCUGCAACCAAGUAAGUGGAUAACAUGAGCUGAGCAAGAAUGAGAAGUCUAAUUCCCCUGAAAUUCAUGAGUUUAACCUCAAUGCAUUUUUCAGCUGAUUUGAUCUGAUUUCCUCACCUACUCUUCUGUAAUAUAUGUGGGCAAUACCUUUGAUAUGAAUAUUUCACUUCUAAUGAAAACUAGUUUUCAUACAUCUUCCUGCUUAGGUGGGAUUUCUGUGAGCACCUCCCUACCAUGGAGAAAGGGGAAAAAACUGUUCAUUCUCUAUUGCCAUUUGGACCUUUCUUUUUCAGAGGUUACUGCCUUUCCCUCUUAUCAUUCCCCUGAAAAGACAUUAAAAAAGGAGGCAAACUGAAAAAAAAAAGAACCAAAGAACAUUUAGGGAACACAAAACCCUCCUUCAAUAUUAAAUUUACCAGUAAAUCUCAUUGCUUAAUUUUUACAUAAUAUGAAUACAUACAUAGAGCAGCAUGUGACAGAAGAGAAACAUCAUAAAGAGAGAUCAUCAUUACUUAGAGAUAUGGAUUCAGGAGUUGGGAACAGCCAGCCCAUCUCAGCUGGCAUGGGAAGAACUUCCUGGGAAAAGUUGUUCCAGCUCAGAAAGACUAUGACUCGGCUAAAACUAAACCUGGAAGCAAGGACGUGCCUGCAGGGAGACCUCUAGGGUAGAACAAAAAUUGGAUGUAACUCCCUUUUUUUUAUUCUAUUCUUCUUGACCCAUUCAUUUUGUAUUUUCUCUGUGUAGAAAAUUAGA